RNAcentral lists this non-coding RNA (150 nucleotides) under Faecalibaculum rodentium. RNAcentral's name for it is "GlcN6P sequence". It matches the Rfam family "glmS glucosamine-6-phosphate activated ribozyme aptamer". From Rfam's summary of the family: This entry contains a glucosamine-6-phosphate activated ribozyme that is found in the mRNA for GlmS. GlmS is an enzyme that uses fructose-6-phosphate and glutamine to generate glucosamine-6-phosphate. The record is from Rfam by way of RNAcentral. Lineage: Bacteria; Bacillati; Bacillota; Erysipelotrichia; Erysipelotrichales; Erysipelotrichaceae.
AGAUGUGAACAAGCGCCAGGACUGCUUCGGCAGUUGACGAGGACCAGGUUGAUCGAAAGAUUCGGCGGAUGACCUGGAGGCCAGGUACAGCCUGAGGCAGCAGACAAAACCAGCCCGCGAGAGCUGAACAGACCUGCUGUCCGUACCCUC